Molecule: non-coding RNA, 160 nt
Filed under: Gluconobacter oxydans
Lineage: Bacteria; Pseudomonadati; Pseudomonadota; Alphaproteobacteria; Acetobacterales; Acetobacteraceae
Description: FMN sequence
Rfam family: FMN riboswitch aptamer (RFN element)
About the family: The RFN element is a highly conserved domain that is found frequently in the 5'-untranslated regions of prokaryotic mRNAs that encode for flavin mononucleotide (FMN) biosynthesis and transport proteins. This element is a metabolite-dependent riboswitch that directly binds FMN in the absence of proteins.
Source: RNAcentral
AGACGUUCUCGGGGCGGGGUGAAACUCCCCACCGGCGGUAUUGAUGGAUUUCGGUCUAUCUGAGCCCGCGAGCGCCUUCCUCCUUAUAUGGAAGAAGGGUCAAGCAGAUCUGGUGAGACUCCAGAGCCGACGGUCAUAGUCCGGAUGAGAGAGAAUGCAG